GUUUUUCUUUUUUUUCGGGACUUUUCCUUCGAAAUUAAAUGUAACCACAGUAUCCUCAGCAGCUAAAGAAUGCCUCAGAGAUCAGUCUAUGCUUGUCACGAUGACCAAACAAAGAAGUAACAGAAACCACUUUAAUUCUGAUUCCUGCCAAUUUAACAAAAAGUGCUUUUCUUUCUACAUUAUACUUUCUGCAUUCCAGGAAAACAUGCCCUUCUGUUUCUACUGUUUGGUUGCAUAGAAAAAUAGUGUCUACCCUUAAUUUUCUUUUCCCACCCUCUCUGCCAUUCUUUUAUUAAGCCCUCUUUGUUUUAAAACACUGCGGCCACACAACUGUGUUCAAACACCUUAUACAAGUGAUUUUUGCAUAAUAGGUCACCUUUAGAGGAGAUUAAAGUCAUUUUUUUUUAUUUUCUGUUUGUCUAGGUGGAAGAUCUCAGUCUGCCUCUCUUGUCAGUCAACAGCAGAAGAGCAGUCAGACAUCAGAGCAGAACCAGAGUGAAGCGGUAUAUACAACUCUCACGUCUGGAACUGCUCAUAUUUAUGACUCUCUCGAUGCCACAAUUAAUAAAGACAUAAACACAGGUAACUAAUGAUGUNGUCUCCCAAACUGACAAAACUUGUGUGUUGACUGAUUUUAAAGGGAUUUUGAGUAGUUUUCUUCUGGGCAGGUACCACUCCAAAUAACAGACUACUACAAAUUAGCAAAUUUAUGUAUGUUUAAAUGAGAUUAAAGUAACUUCCUUAAAAUAUUUUCCUAAACAUUUUCUGUUUGUCUAGGUGGAAGAUCUCAGUCUGCCUCUCGUGUGAGUCAACAGCAGAAGAGCAGUCAGACAUCAGAGCAGAACCAGAGUGAAGCAGGACAUAAAACACUCAUGUCUGGAACUGCUCAUAUUUAUGACUCUCUUGAUGCCACAAUUAAUAAAGACAUAAGCACAGGUAAUGUAGACAUUGUAAGUGGACCUUCUGAACUCACCUAUGCUGAGAUUGAGCUCAAAUCUACAGAGAAACAGAAGAAAAAGAAAGAAAACAAAGGUAAUAGCAGUGAAAGUUCAGACACUGUGUACUCUCAGCUGAAUCUGGAAACUCAUCGAGGUGAGUGUCAAAGUAAAAACAUCAAACACAGUUCAAAAGGAGCCACUAACAACUGCAUACAAGCAUCGUUGAUGAAAUAUGAAAAAAUUCUAAUGUAUAUUUAAUGCAUUUUUAAUUAAUUUACACAUUGGAAAAAACUGAUGAUCUUUUAGUACUGCACAGUGUUUAUUUUUAUUGGCUGAUACCAGCAGAGGCAGCAGCUCAUCGUUUGACUGUUGAUUGAGAGCAGGUUUCCUUUUUUGUGUGUCUUCUUGAUUUUAAAUGUAUUUACAGCAUAGUCAUGAACAACCUGGAAAUACCUGCCAAUUUUAAAAUGAUGACUUCCAGGUCUGGAAGAGUUGUCUUACAAAUAAAUGUAUAUGAUGAAUAUAAUUUUUUUUGAAG
Cyprinus carpio (common carp) is the source of this 1476-nucleotide long non-coding RNA. NCBI's taxonomy places the organism in Eukaryota, Metazoa, Chordata, Actinopteri, Cypriniformes, Cyprinidae. The record is from Ensembl.